This 70-nucleotide transfer RNA is filed under the name Marmota monax (woodchuck). RNAcentral describes it as "tRNA.Ala". The record is from RNAcentral. Lineage: Eukaryota; Metazoa; Chordata; Mammalia; Rodentia; Sciuridae.
GGUGCAUAGUUCAGUGAUAGAGUAUGUGCUUGGCAUGUGCAUGAGGGCCUGAGUUCAAUUCCCAGCACCA